Long non-coding RNA from Helianthus annuus (common sunflower), 1796 nucleotides. RefSeq lists it as uncharacterized. The record is from RefSeq and is a predicted model, not a curated record. The transcript is spliced from 10 exons. Lineage: Eukaryota; Viridiplantae; Streptophyta; Magnoliopsida; Asterales; Asteraceae.
UAAACCCUAACUUCAUUUCAUCCACAGCCGCUCCUCCUUUCUCUCUCUCUGGUGAUUUUCAAUUUAGGGUUUCACGAGAUCUGUGGUAUGAGCAAGAUCUCACCAGAUCCAACAAUGGUGUGGUGAUCUCAGGCGAUAUAUGUGCUUCAGUUUUGUUAACCAUCUCCUUCCUUUCUCCAGGCGAUUCUAGGGUUUCGUUAUAAGUCGCUUCAAGAUCUACGCUUCCUCAGUGAUGAAUCUCUCUAGAUCCGACACUAGAGUCGACCGCUCGGUACCUUACUUUUUACCAUAUCUUUUUUUUUGUUAUUUGAAUCGGAUCUGUGUAAUAUUUCAGAUUCUGGUGGUUGUGGUGGAAGAUGAUGGCGAUGACACAGAUCUACCGUUUGGUUGCCAGAUCUACCGUUUGAAGUUGAAGGUACUGGCCGUGGUAUACAAGCUUUCUACCGGAUCUGUGUGUUCACUCGCGUGGCCGUCCAACUUUUUCAUUGUUUAGGUUCUUAGUGACUUCACCAAUAAAGUUCUAAUGACAUUGGUGGAAUUGGAGUGUAAAAAGAUCCAUAAAGAGGAGUGAAUGUCAAAUAUGAAACCAAAAACAACAAAAAAGGACACAAAGCUGGUGCUCUUCGUGAAGAUUUCAAUAUGUGACCGAUUCGGAAGCUGUUGGGAAUUUUCUGGCCAUGAAAGAAAGAAGUUGGAGACUUAAUGGUGAUGAUUUUCUAAAGUGGCCAGGCUAUUUCAAAAAACUAAUGCUCGCAUUGGAUUUGAUUGCAACAUUAGAAAGGGGGUUAGCAGCCUAAACGACUGGCAUGUCUAUCUGCAUUGGGAAGCACAGAAUUUGGCACGCGUUGUUCCGUCAUUGGGGCCUGAGGGUGUAGACCUUCUAUCGAAAAUGCUGAAAUACGACCCUGCUGACAGGAUUUCGGCUAAACAUGCUAUGGAUCAUCCUUAUUUCGACAGAGUUUAUCUCUAGGUGAAAAAAUAUAGACCAUGGGACUGUCUCAAAUGGGUUUGUUAGGGUGGUUUGCGAUAUUGAUGUGCAAAGACAAGUUUGUGGAAUACUGGGUAUCAUCCUUAUAUGGUUUCGGAUUCUCCCAUUUAGUUUUUGUCGCUGGAGUUAUGUACUUUGCAAUGCUAUUAAUUGGUUGGAAUUCUCAUCACACCAUGAAAAAGUGGACUAUUGAUGUUGGUUGGACAAGUACCUGGGUCAGAAUAGUAAAUGAGUGGCUAGCAGUCUGUGUUUACUACGGGUCAACAGGUCAGCAUAUGAUAUAUUUACGCCCAGAAAGCACUAUUGAAAAAGGGUACCUUCCAACAAAUCACUUCACAUGGACAUGAGUUCGGGAAAGAUGGUCGGAAAUGGAGAAGUACUCACCAAUUAAGCCAAUCUUUGACUCCUUUAUGAUAGAGUGGGAAGCAAAGAGAGGAAAAAGGGUGCGAGAACGCUGCCCCCUCCUUGCCGAAAUUGUUUCUUUUCCCUGUUGCCGGUACGACCAACCUAAAAAUAUGUAUGAUAAAGGUGAAAAAUCCUUAGAAACUAUAAUACCAUCUCAACAUUAUUAGUUGUCGUGUUGUACUGCGUUGUAAAUUGCCCUCGCAGCCGAUUGACUGCUCACCACCCUAUAUAGAUGGCAGACUGCUCCCCUUUCAAAGUGCAACUAUAGUUUUUUUUUUCUCAGAUUUACUUCAUCUGAUGGGAUAUAGAUUGCGGGUUGUACAUUGCUCAUAGCAUUCAUUGCUAGCUAAUGCAGUUUUGGCACGCGUGUUCGUUUUUUUUAAUACUAUGUUUGUGACUGAUA